RNAcentral lists this ribosomal RNA (766 nucleotides) under uncultured Russula. RNAcentral's name for it is "partial 28S ribosomal RNA". It matches the Rfam family "Eukaryotic large subunit ribosomal RNA", at positions 216 to 962 of the family's 3401-position model. Lineage: Eukaryota; Fungi; Basidiomycota; Agaricomycetes; Russulales; Russulaceae. The record is from RNAcentral.
GAAUCCCGUCUUUGGCACGGAUGUACCGGGGCUUUUGUGAUGCGCUCUCGAAGAGUCGAGUUGUUUGGGAAUGCAGCUCAAAAUGGGUGGUGAACUCCAUCUAAAGCUAAAUAUUGGCGAGAGACCGAUAGCGAACAAGUACCGUGAGGGAAAGAUGAAAAGCACUUUGGAAAGAGAGUGAAACAGUACGUGAAAUUGUUGAAAGGGAAACGCUUGAAGUCAGUCGCGUCGACCGAGACUCAGCCUCGCCUCGGCUUGGUGUACUUCUCGGCUGACGGGUCAGCAUCAAUUUUGCCCCUUGGAUAAUGGCGAGGGAAAUGUGACACCUUUGCGGUGUGUUAUAGUCUCUCGUCGCAUGCAAGGGUCGGGAUUGAGGAACUCAGCACGCGCCUUCGGGCGUCGGGGCCUUGCCCACGAUACGUGCUUAGGAUGUUGGCGUAAUGGCUUUAAACGACCCGUCUUGAAACACGGACCAAGGAGUCUAACAUGCCCGCGAGUGUUCGGGUGGAAAACCCGUGCGCGCAAUGAAAGUGAAAGUUGGGACCUCUGUCGCGGAGGGCACCGACGCCCGGACCAGAGCUUCUGCGACGGAUCUGCGGUGGAGCGUGUAUGUUAGGACCCGAAAGAUGGUGAACUAUGCCUGAAUAGGGUGAAGCCAGAGGAAACUCUGGUGGAGGCUCGUAGCGAUUCUGACGUGCAAAUCGAUCGUCAAAUUUGGGUAUAGGGGCGAAAGACUAAUCGAACCAUCUAGUAGCUGGUUCCUGCC